GAGUUUGAUCAUGGCUCAGAACGAACGCUGGCGGCGUGGAUUAGGCAUGCAAGUCGUACGCGAAAGAGGGGGUAACCCCUCUAGUAGAGUGGCGAACGGGUGAGUAACGCGUGAAGAACCUGCCUUCAACAGGGGGAUAACACUCCCAACGGAGUGCUAAUACCGCAUGAGACCACGGGUCUGCAUGGACCUGAGGUCAAAGGUGGCCUCUGCUUGCAAGCUACCGGUUGAAGAUGGCUUCGCGUCCCAUUAGCUAGUUGGCGGGGUAACGGCCCACCAAGGCGACGAUGGGUAGCUGGUCUGAGAGGAUGGUCAGCCACACUGGGACUGAGAUACGGCCCAGACUCCUACGGGAGGCAGCAGUCGAGAGGCUUUGGCAAUGGGGGAAACCCUGACCAAGCGACGCCGCGUGGAGGAUGAAGGCCCUUGGGUUGUAAACUCCUUUUGCUGGGGAAGAAAUGCGAUCAGGUGAACAAUCUGGUCGUUUGACGGUACCCAGCGAAUAAGCUCCGGCUAACUCCGUGCCAGCAGCCGCGGUAACACGGGGGGAGCAAGCGUUGUUCGGAAUCACUGGGCGUAAAGGGCGUGUAGGCGGUCAGGUAAGUGGAAUGUGAAAUGCCCCGGCUCACCCGGGGACCGGCAUCCCAAACUGCCUGGCUUGAGUAU
RNAcentral lists this ribosomal RNA (666 nucleotides) under uncultured Latescibacterota bacterium. Its description in RNAcentral is "bacterial SSU rRNA". It matches the Rfam family "Bacterial small subunit ribosomal RNA", at positions 9 to 649 of the family's 1533-position model. The record is from RNAcentral. Lineage: Bacteria; Pseudomonadati; Candidatus Latescibacterota.